RNAcentral lists this ribosomal RNA (216 nucleotides) under uncultured bacterium. RNAcentral's name for it is "partial 16S ribosomal RNA". It matches the Rfam family "Bacterial small subunit ribosomal RNA", at positions 524 to 737 of the family's 1533-position model. The record is from RNAcentral.
UACGUAGGGUGCGAGCGUUGUCCGGAAUCAUUGGGCGUAAAGGGCGCGUAGGUGGCCCGGUCAGUUCGUGGUGAAAGCGCGGGGCUCAACCCUGCGUCGGCCAUGAAUACUGCCGCGGCUGGAGCACUGUAGAGGCAGGCGGAAUUCCGGGGUGUAGCGGUGGAAUGCGUAGAGAUCCGGAAGAACACCGGUGGCGAAGGCGGCCUGCUGGGCAGU